Molecule: small RNA, 79 nt
Filed under: Lacinutrix venerupis
Lineage: Bacteria; Pseudomonadati; Bacteroidota; Flavobacteriia; Flavobacteriales; Flavobacteriaceae
Description: Flavo-1 RNA
Rfam family: Flavo-1 RNA
Source: RNAcentral
UUACGUUAAGGAUAGCAGCGGCAUCCUUUUUUGCGCGCGCUUAUGCGCGAAAAAGAUAUAGCGUAUAGCCUGACCGAGU